GAUGAACGCUGGCGGCGUGCCUAAUACAUGCAAGUCGAGCGAACGGACGAGAAGCUUGCUUCUCUGAUGUUAGCGGCGGACGGGUGAGUAACACGUGGAUAACCUACCUAUAAGACUGGGAUAACUUCGGAAAACCGGAGCUAAUACCGGAUAAUAUUUUGAACCGCAUGGUUCAAAAGUGAAAGACGGUCUUGCUGUCACUUAUAGAUGGAUCCGCGCUGCAUUAGCUAGUUGGUAAGGUAACGGCUUACCAAGGCAACGAUGCAUAGCCGACCUGAGAGGGUGAUAGGCCACACUGGAACGGAGACACGGUCCAGACUCCUACGGGAGGCAGCAGUAGGGAAUCUUACGCAAUGGGCGAAAGCAUGACGGAGCAACGCCGCGUGAGUGAUGAAGGUCUUCGGAUCGUAAAACUCUGUUAUUAGGGAAGAACAUAUGUGUAAGUAACUGUGCACAUCUUGACGGUACCUAAUCAGAAAGCCACGGCUAACUACGUG
This 497-nucleotide ribosomal RNA is filed under the name uncultured bacterium. Its description in RNAcentral is "partial 16S ribosomal RNA". It matches the Rfam family "Bacterial small subunit ribosomal RNA", at positions 28 to 507 of the family's 1533-position model. The record is from RNAcentral.